This 108-nucleotide ribosomal RNA is filed under the name Macaca nemestrina (pig-tailed macaque). The record is from RNAcentral. Lineage: Eukaryota; Metazoa; Chordata; Mammalia; Primates; Cercopithecidae.
AUCCAUUACUUUUCUUUUUUUUCCCCUCUGAUCUCAGAAGUUAAGUAGGGUCGGGCCUGGUUAGUACUUGGAUGAGAGACUGCCUGGAAAUACUAGGUGCUGUAGAUU